This 281-nucleotide unclassified non-coding RNA is filed under the name Hevea brasiliensis (rubber tree). Lineage: Eukaryota; Viridiplantae; Streptophyta; Magnoliopsida; Malpighiales; Euphorbiaceae. The record is from RNAcentral.
AUUCAAACCCUCUAAUAUGGAGGGCCUAAUACCAUAUGUCUACAAGGUCAUGGUUCAGUACAAGGCUGGAGGACAAUCAACAAUGGAAGGUAGCUCAUUUGGUGAAUCAACUAGUGCGCAUUACGUAAGACUUCCAGGCGAUUCAGGACGGUUCAAUCCAUCAAGCAUCCAACUUUUUCUUCCAGAAUAUGUUCGUUCUUCGUCAGCCUCCGCGACGCAUCCAACACUUACUUCUCAACUACUUGCCAUUACAGGAAGCCAAUCCCCUGCCCAUCUUCCUG